Molecule: ribosomal RNA, 460 nt
Filed under: uncultured bacterium
Lineage: Bacteria
Description: partial 16S ribosomal RNA
Rfam family: Bacterial small subunit ribosomal RNA
Source: RNAcentral
CCUACGGGUGGCAGCAGUGAGGAAUAUUGGUCAAUGGACGGGAGCCUGAACCAGCCAUGCAGCGUGAAGGAUGACUGCCCUAUGGGUUGUAAACUUCUUUUAUAUGGGGAUAAAAUGUUCCACGUGUGGGGUUUUGUAUGUACCAUAUGAAUAAGGAUCGGCUAACUCCGUGCCAGCAGCCGCGGUAAUACGGAGGAUCCGAGCGUUAUCCGGAUUUAUUGGGUUUAAAGGGAGCGUAGGUGGUUUGUUAAGUUAGGUGUGAAAGUUUGAGGCUCAACCGUAACAUUGCAGUUGAUACUGGCAGUCUAGAGUACAGUAGAGGUAGGCGGAAUUCGUGGUGUAGCGGUGAAAUGCUUAGAUAUCACGAAGAACUCCGAUUGCGAAGGCAGCUUACUGGACUGGAACUGACACUGAGGCUCGAAAGUGUGGGUAUCAAACAGGAUUAGAUACCCGUGUAGUC